UUCACAUGUCCGCAUGAUUAAAGGUAUUUUCCGGUAGACGAUGGGGAUGCGUUCCAUUAGAUAGUAGGCGGGGUAACGGCCCACCUAGUCAACGAUGGAUAGGGGUUCUGAGAGGAAGGUCCCCCACAUUGGAACUGAGACACGGUCCAAACUCCUACGGGAGGCAGCAGUGAGGAAUAUUGGUCAAUGGGCGAUGGCCUGAACCAGCCAAGUAGCGUGAAGGAUGACUGCCCUAUGGGUUGUAAACUUCUUUUAUAAAGGAAUAAAGUCGGGUAUGCAUACCCGUUUGCAUGUACUUUAUGAAUAAGGAUCGGCUAACUCCGUGCCAGCAGCCGCGGUAAUACGGAGGAUCCGAGCGUUAUCCGGAUUUAUUGGGUUUAAAGGGAGCGUAGAUGGAUGUUUAAGUCAGUUGUGAAAGUUUGCGGCUCAACCGUAAAAUUGCAGUUGAUACUGGAUGUCUUGAGUGCAGUUGAGGCAGGCGGAAUUCGUGGUGUAGCGGUGAAAUGCUUAGAUAUCACGAAGAACUCCGAUUGCGAAGGCAGCCUGCUAAGCUGCAACUGACAUUGAGGCUCGAAAGUGUGGGUAUCAAACAGGAUUAGAUACCCUGGUAGUCCACACGGUA
RNAcentral lists this ribosomal RNA (622 nucleotides) under uncultured bacterium. Its description in RNAcentral is "bacterial SSU rRNA". It matches the Rfam family "Bacterial small subunit ribosomal RNA", at positions 180 to 804 of the family's 1533-position model. The record is from RNAcentral.